This 804-nucleotide long non-coding RNA is filed under the name Pan troglodytes (chimpanzee). RNAcentral's name for it is "long non-coding RNA NONPTRT007922". Lineage: Eukaryota; Metazoa; Chordata; Mammalia; Primates; Hominidae. The record is from RNAcentral.
CUCCCCUGCUGAUGGGCGCUCAUGUGGCCUACUCUCUGGCUAUUGGGAGUCGUGCUGCUGUGGACAUUGGUGUGCAGGUGCUGGUGUGGACGUUGGUGUGCAGGUGCUGGUGUGGACAUUGGUGUGCAGGUGUUGGUGUGGGUGCUGGUGUGGACGUUGGUGUGCAGGUGUUGGUGUGGGUGCUGGUGUGGACGUUGGUGUGCAGGUGUUGGUGUGGGUGCUGGUGUGGACGUUGGUGUGCAGGUGUUGGUGUGGGUGUUGGUGUGGACGUUGGUGUGCAGGUGUUGGUGUGGGUGUUGGUGUGGACGUUGGUGUGUAGGUGUUGGUGUGCAGGUGUUGGUGUGGACAUUGGUGUGCAGGUGUUGGUGUGGAUAUUGGUGUGCAGGUGUUGGUGUGGAUAUUGGUGUGCAGGUGUUGGUGUGGACAUUGGUGUGCAGGUGCUGGUGUGGACGUUGGUGUGCAGGUGUUGGUGUGGACGUUGGUGUGCAGGUGUUGGCGUGGAUGUUGGUGUGCAGGUGUUGGCGUGGACAUUGGUGUGCAGGUGCUGGUGUAGACAUUGGUGUGCAGGUGCUGGUGUGGACGUUGGUGUGUAGGUGUUGGUGUGCAGGUGUUGGUGUGGACAUUGGUGUGCAGGUGUUGGUGUGGAUAUUGGUGUGCAGGUGCUGGUGUGGACGUUGGUGUGCAGGUGUUGGUGUGCAGGUGUUGGUGUGCAGGUGUUGGUGUGGACGUUGGUGUGCAGGUGUUGGUGUGCAGGUGUUGGUGUGGAUGUUGGUGUGGGUGUUGGUGUGCAGGUGUUGGUGUGCA